RNAcentral lists this ribosomal RNA (506 nucleotides) under uncultured bacterium. RNAcentral describes it as "partial 16S ribosomal RNA". It matches the Rfam family "Bacterial small subunit ribosomal RNA", at positions 29 to 523 of the family's 1533-position model. The record is from RNAcentral.
AGUGAACGCUGACGGUAGGCCUAACACAUGCAAGUCGAACGGCAGCACAGAGGAGCUUGCUCCUUGGGUGGCGAGUGGCGGACGGGUGAGGAAUACAUCGGAAUCUACUCUGUCGUGGGGGAUAACGUAGGGAAACUUACGCUAAUACCGCAUACGACCUACGGGUGAAAGCAGGGGACCUUCGGGCCUUGCGCGAUUGAAUGAGCCGAUGUCGGGUUAGCUAGUUGGCGGGGUAAAGGCCCACCAAGGCGACGAUCCGUAGCUGGUCUGAGGGGAGGAGCAGCCACACUGGAACUGGGACACGGUCCAGACUCCUACGGGAGGCAGCAGUGGGGAAUAUUGGACAAUGGGCGCAAGCCUGAUCCAGCCAUACCGCGUGGGUGAAGAAGGCCUUCGGGUUGUAAAGCCCUUUUGUUGGGAAAGAAAUCCAGCUGGCUAAUACCCGGUUGGGAUGACGGUACCCAAAGAAUAAGCACCGGCUAACUUCGUGCCAGCCGCCGCAGUAA